This 445-nucleotide ribosomal RNA is filed under the name uncultured bacterium. RNAcentral's name for it is "partial 16S ribosomal RNA". It matches the Rfam family "Bacterial small subunit ribosomal RNA", at positions 354 to 796 of the family's 1533-position model. The record is from RNAcentral.
GUGAGGAAUAUUGCGCAAUGGAGGCAACUCUGACGCAGCCAUGCCGCGUGCAGGAAGAAGGCGCUACGCGUUGUAAACUGCUUUUAACCGGGAAGAAACCCCAGGACGUGUCCUGGGUUGACGGUACCGGAGGAAUAAGCACCGGCUAACUUCGUGCCAGCAGCCGCGGUAAUACGAAGGGUGCAAGCGUUAUCCGGAUUCAUUGGGUUUAAAGGGUGCGUAGGCGGAGCGUUAAGUCAGUGGUGAAAUCCUGCAGCUUAACUGUAGACUUGCCAUUGAUACUGGCGCUCUUGAGUGCGCUUGAAGUGGGCGGAAUGUGCCGUGUAGCGGUGAAAUGCUUAGAUAUGGCACAGAACACCAAUUGCGAAGGCAGCUCACUAAGGCGAUACUGACGCUGAGGUUCGAAAGCGUGGGUAGCAAACAGGAUUAGAUACCCUGGUUGUCC